RNAcentral lists this ribosomal RNA (119 nucleotides) under Levilactobacillus brevis. RNAcentral also lists the same sequence under 1 other name. Lineage: Bacteria; Bacillati; Bacillota; Bacilli; Lactobacillales; Lactobacillaceae. The record is from RNAcentral.
UGUGGUGGCGAUAGCCUGAAGGAUACACCUGUUCCCAUGCCGAACACAGAAGUUAAGCUUCAGCACGCCGAUAGUAGUUGGGGGAUCGCCCCCUGCGAGGAUAGGACGUUGCCACGCGA